This 654-nucleotide ribosomal RNA is filed under the name uncultured bacterium. Its description in RNAcentral is "bacterial SSU rRNA". It matches the Rfam family "Bacterial small subunit ribosomal RNA", at positions 139 to 788 of the family's 1533-position model. The record is from RNAcentral.
GGGGAUAACUACUGGAAACGGUAGCUAAUACCGCAUAACGUCGCAAGACCAAAGAGGGGGACCUUCGGGCCUCUUGCCAUCGGAUGUGCCCAGAUGGGAUUAGCUUGUUGGUGGGGUAACGGCUCACCAAGGCGACGAUCCCUAGCUGGUCUGAGAGGAUGACCAGCCACACUGGAACUGAGACACGGUCCAGACUCCUACGGGAGGCAGCAGUGGGGAAUAUUGCACAAUGGGCGCAAGCCUGAUGCAGCCAUGCCGCGUGUAUGAAGAAGGCCUUCGGGUUGUAAAGUACUUUCAGCGGGGAGGAAGGGAGUAAAGUUAAUACCUUUGCUCAUUGACGUUACCCGCAGAAGAAGCACCGGCUAACUCCGUGCCAGCAGCCGCGGUAAUACGGAGGGUGCAAGCGUUAAUCGGAAUUACUGGGCGUAAAGCGCACGCAGGCGGUUUGUUAAGUCAGAUGUGAAAUCCCCGGGCUCAACCUGGGAACUGCAUCUGAUACUGGCAAGCUUAAGUCUCGUAGAGGGGGGUAGAAUUCCAGGUGUAGCGGUGAAAUGCGUAGAGAUCUGGAGGAAUACCGGUGGCGAAGGCGGCCCCCUGGACGAAGACUGACGCUCAGGUGCGAAAGCGUGGGGAGCAAACAGGAUUAGAUACCCU